UUGGAUAAUCUGUUUUUUCACGGGUGAACUUUUUUUUUCCUCGGAAGAUGCUAAUACAGUGUCUUUCCAUGUUAUUCUGCUCCCUGCAUUAUCUGUCUUUCCUCUGGGUUGUUUUUAACCUGUUUUCUCUCUUUCACAAUGGAGGCUUUCCUCAAAUUUCUAGCAAUCUUUGUUCACAUUUAACAAGAGGGUUCUAAAAGCUGACUGGAAGGUGUUUUAAUUACUACAGCACUGUCCAAGAGGAGCAUAAUGUGAGCCACAUAUGUAAUAUCAGAUUUUCUGGUAGCUACUUUUAAAAAGCAAAGCAGAUGAAGUUAACAAUAUAUUUUAUUUUACCCAAUAGAGGCAUAAUAUUAUUUCAACAUAUUUUAACCAGUAUAAAACUUAUUGAUGAGAUAUUUUAUAUUUCUUUCUGCAUUGUCUUCAAAACCCAGUGCAUAUUUUAUUAACAUAGCAGCACAUUUUAAUUCAUACACUAAAUUUUCAUCUGAAUUACUUGAUCCAUUUUUAGAUUUGUAAAACUUAGCAUUGAAAAGUGGAUUCACAUAGUUCUUGUAAACAUAUCUUGUUCUAAAUAUACUUAAAAUUUUCGAUAACUGCAUCAAGUAUCAGAAGAAUAACUUUGAUAUUUGCAUCCACAUUGACAAAACUGUUCAUCUUUUUAUUGGAAGAAUUGAUUUGAUUUUGAACCAAAAGCAUAUCAUUUUGAAAACUGUUAUUUGUUCAGGUAAAUUCAACUCAGUAUUAUCAUCAUCAAAUUUGGCAUAAGGCAUUACAUAAAAUGGAAACAAAGCUGAACUUAUUCAUAUCAACAAACCAGUCUUUACAUUUGUCUUUUUUUUUUGCAGUUAACUUGCAUAAAGCACUAUUGAUUACAUUUAAAAUUUGCAUAUUGACCCAAUGUUAGAAAAAUGUGUACAGUUGUCAUUUUUUUAUUUGUAUUACGAAAUGUUUCCUAAUAUUUAAUUUAUUUAUUA
Lontra canadensis (Northern American river otter) is the source of this 977-nucleotide long non-coding RNA. RefSeq lists it as uncharacterized. The record is from RefSeq and is a predicted model, not a curated record. The transcript is spliced from 3 exons. NCBI's taxonomy places the organism in Eukaryota, Metazoa, Chordata, Mammalia, Carnivora, Mustelidae.